RNAcentral lists this unclassified non-coding RNA (261 nucleotides) under Hevea brasiliensis (rubber tree). Lineage: Eukaryota; Viridiplantae; Streptophyta; Magnoliopsida; Malpighiales; Euphorbiaceae. The record is from RNAcentral.
GAGGAUGUCGACGCGGUUGUAAGUCCGGAGAGUGUAGUCUACCAGCUCCUCUACCUGCUUCUCGUCCCGGACAUCACAGUGCUUGUAUGUACAUUUCUCAGGCAGGCCGAUGGAGGCAGCGACUGAGUGGCCGAGAUCGUCUUGGACGUCGGCGAUGACGAUUAUGGCACCUUGGGAGGCAAAGAGCCUGGCGGCAGCUUCGCCGAUCCCGCUGGCUGCUCCGGUGAUGAUGGCCACCUUGCCAUCUAGCCUUGGCUUUGG